GACGAACGCUGGCGGCGUGCUUAACACAUGCAAGUCGAACGCUGAAGCUCAGCUUUUGUUGGGGGGAUGAGUGGCGAACGGGUGAGUAACACGUGAGUAACCUGCCCCCUUCUUUGGGAUAACGCCCGGAAACGGGUGCUAAUACUGGAUAUUCACUGGUCUUCGCAUGGGGGUUGGUGGAAAGGGUUUUUCUGGUGGGGGAUGGGCUCGCGGCCUAUCAGCUUGUUGGUGGGGUGAUGGCCUACCAAGGCGUUGACGGGUAGCCGGCCUGAGAGGGUGACAGGUAACAUUGGGACUGAGAUACGGCCCAGACUCCUACGGGAGGCAGCAGUGGGGAAUAUUGCACAAUGGGCGCAAGCCUGAUGCAGCGACGCCGCGUGAGGGAUCGAGGCCUUCGGGUUGUGAACCUCUUUCGCUCAUGGUCAAGCCGCAACAAUGGUUGUGGUGAGGGUAGUGGGUAAAGAAGCGCCGGCUAACUACGUG
This 483-nucleotide ribosomal RNA is filed under the name uncultured bacterium. Its description in RNAcentral is "partial 16S ribosomal RNA". It matches the Rfam family "Bacterial small subunit ribosomal RNA", at positions 28 to 507 of the family's 1533-position model. The record is from RNAcentral.